UACGGGGGGGGCAAGCGUUGUUCGGAAUUACUGGGCUUAAAGGGUGCGUAGGCGGCGCGGAAAGUUGGGUGUGAAAUCCCUCGGCUCAACCGAGGAACUGCGCCCAAAACUACCGUGCUCGAGGAAGAUAGAGGUGAGCGGAACUCACGGUGGAGCGGUGAAAUGCGUUGAUAUCGUGAGGAACACCCGUGGCGAAAGCGGCUCACUGGGUCUUCUCUGACGCUGAUGCACGAAAGCUAGGGGAGCAAACGGG
This 253-nucleotide ribosomal RNA is filed under the name uncultured bacterium. Its description in RNAcentral is "partial 16S ribosomal RNA". It matches the Rfam family "Bacterial small subunit ribosomal RNA", at positions 524 to 776 of the family's 1533-position model. The record is from RNAcentral.